AGCAAAUGAUGGAAAGAAUAUUUGCUAACUGAAUGGCAGUGCUGACAAGCUUUUCCACCAAGAUCUCUGAUGCC
Pantherophis guttatus is the source of this 74-nucleotide small nucleolar RNA. RefSeq annotates it as small nucleolar RNA SNORD24. NCBI's taxonomy places the organism in Eukaryota, Metazoa, Chordata, Lepidosauria, Squamata, Colubridae. The record is from RefSeq and is a predicted model, not a curated record.